Non-coding RNA from Salvia hispanica, 690 nucleotides. NCBI's taxonomy places the organism in Eukaryota, Viridiplantae, Streptophyta, Magnoliopsida, Lamiales, Lamiaceae. The record is from RefSeq and is a predicted model, not a curated record.
UCUCGGUUAUUGCAGCUCAAUCUCUCUCCUCACCUACCAUCUCAAUCUUUCUUCAUUUACGGUGGCCACCUCCACGCCGAGAUGCCGCCGCCGUAUUCCAGACGUCGCCGCUGCCCAUUUCUCAUUUCUUGUUCAGCCUCAUCAUCUCUCUCUGUGUGGAUGAGAUGCCGGUGGAGCUGCUCGUCGAGUGUCUUCAGAUCUAUCUGAUCCGCCCUCACAAAUCCGUCGCCAGUGUGGAUGUCUCCCUCUCUCCGGAAAGCGCCGAUGCGACGUCAGUGGAGCUUACGGUGGGAACGCGCAAUAAGCGACGAACUUCAACAGCGAAAAGCAAAGCGAGCCGAUAAGUUCGGAUAGUCCAAUUGAUGAGACUCCUAGACCUGCAGUUCAUUCGUCCUGCUUAGUUUUGACUGCUUCUGAUACCAGCACUCAUGGUGGAUUUCUGUCUUUCAUAAACAUGCAAAUGAGUGUCUUCCCCCAUUGAAUAUGAGCCAACAGAUUCUGAGUUGCUGACACCGGAAUUGAUUGCUAAGGAUACACAUGGAAAUGAAUGGCAAUUCAAACAUAUAUUUAGAGAGGAAGAUAAUGGGGUUUUAAGAGUACUAAACGACUAAAAUUGGUGUUGUGCAUUAAAGGUAAUUUUGUUACCUUAGAAUAGUAACUUAAUAUGUAUGCCAUACUUUGCUAAUAUCU